GAUGUUNCCCCUCCUCUUUCAUCAUCGCACAGAUGAUGCAGAUCGACGAUGUCCAAUAAAAUUCUCGGGAGAAUUAUGAUAAUGACAUUGUCUGCCUAUGUGUCUUGACCAAAUUACGUGCCASCAGUCNCGGUAAUACGUAGAACACUAGUGUUAUUCAUGUUUAAUCGGGUUAAAGGGUWCCUAGACGGUANAUCAAGCUUUUUCAUAUNAAUUAUGAUAAUUAAAGGGACUAAUUUACUAGAGUUACUUACNAGGGGGUAUUAAAGUACUGCUGGUGUAGAGAUGAAAUUCUGUCAUACCUCUUUUCCAANGAAAAAUCAUGGCACAGGUAUAGGCGAAGGCCUCCCCUUAUGGGAUNACUGACGUUGAGGGACGAAGGCUUUGUGUAACCAACCGGAUUAGAUACCCUAGUAGUUGAAGCAGAAAAUGAUGAAUGUCAUAGAUUAGAUAUGUAAGCUUAUUCUAUAAAUGAAAGUGUAAGCAUUCCACCUCANGAGUAAUUUGGCAACAUUGGAAUNGAAAUCAUUAGACCGUUUCUGAAACC
This 547-nucleotide ribosomal RNA is filed under the name Punctelia rudecta. RNAcentral describes it as "partial small subunit ribosomal RNA". It matches the Rfam family "Bacterial small subunit ribosomal RNA", at positions 385 to 927 of the family's 1533-position model. The record is from RNAcentral. Lineage: Eukaryota; Fungi; Ascomycota; Lecanoromycetes; Lecanorales; Parmeliaceae.